RNAcentral lists this ribosomal RNA (400 nucleotides) under Bacillus pumilus. RNAcentral describes it as "bacterial SSU rRNA". It matches the Rfam family "Bacterial small subunit ribosomal RNA", at positions 95 to 492 of the family's 1533-position model. The record is from RNAcentral. Lineage: Bacteria; Bacillati; Bacillota; Bacilli; Caryophanales; Bacillaceae.
GCGGCGGACGGGUGAGUAACACGUGGGUAACCUGCCUGUAAGACUGGGAUAACUCCGGGAAACCGGAGCUAAUACCGGAUAGUUCCUUGAACCGCAUGGUUCAAGGAUGAAAGACGGUUUCGGCUGUCACUUACAGAUGGACCCGCGGCGCAUUAGCUAGUUGGUGGGGUAAUGGCUCACCAAGGCGACGAUGCGUAGCCGACCUGAGAGGGUGAUCGGCCACACUGGGACUGAGACACGGCCCAGACUCCUACGGGAGGCAGCAGUAGGGAAUCUUCCGCAAUGAACAAAAGUCUGACGAACCAACGCCGCGUGAGUGAUGAAGGUUUUCGAAUCCUAAAGUUCUGUUGUUAGGAAAAAACAAAUCCAAAAGUAACUGCUCGCACUUUGCCGCAAACCU